RNAcentral lists this unclassified non-coding RNA (336 nucleotides) under soil metagenome. Its description in RNAcentral is "partial contains 5.8S ribosomal RNA, internal transcribed spacer 2, and large subunit ribosomal RNA". The stretch from base 1 to 120 matches the Rfam family "5.8S ribosomal RNA", at positions 35 to 154 of the family's 154-position model. The record is from RNAcentral.
GAUGAAGAACGUAGCGAAAUGCGAUAAGUAGUGUGAAUUGCAGAAUUCAGUGAAUCAUCGAAUCUUUGAACGCACAUUGCGCCCCUUGGUAUUCCAUGGGGCAUGCCUGUUCGAGCGUCAUUUGUACCUUCAAGCUUUGCUUGGUGUUGGGUGUUUGUCUCGCCUUUGCGUGUAGACUCGCCUUAAAAUAAUUGGCAGCCGGCGUAUUGAUUUCGGAGCGCAGUACAUCUCGCGCUUUGCACUCAUAACGACAGCGUCCAAAAGUACAUUUUACACUCUUGACCUCGGACCAGGUAGGGAUACCCGCUGAACUUAAGCAUAUCAAUAAGCGGAGGA